CAAUAGCGUAUAUUUAAGUUGUUGCAGUUAAAAAACUCGUAGUUGGAUUUCGGUUAAGAGCGACCGGUCCGCCGUUUGGUGUGCACUGGUUGGUUUUAACUUCCUGUAGAGGACGUGCUCUGGGUUUAACGACCUGGACUCGGAGUCUACGUGGUUACUUUGAAAAAAUUAGAGUGUUCAAAGCGGGCUUACGCUUGAAUAUUUCAGCAUGGAAUAACACUAUAGGACUCCUGUCCUAUUUCGUUGGUCUCGGGACGGGAGUAAUGAUUAAGAGGAACAGUUGGGGGCAUUCGUAUUUCAUUGUCAGAGGUGAAAUUCUUGGAUUUAUGAAAGACGAACUUCUGCGAAAGCAUUUGCCAAGGAUGUUUUCAUUAA
This 375-nucleotide ribosomal RNA is filed under the name uncultured eukaryote. RNAcentral's name for it is "partial 18S ribosomal RNA". It matches the Rfam family "Eukaryotic small subunit ribosomal RNA", at positions 592 to 976 of the family's 1831-position model. The record is from RNAcentral.